This 462-nucleotide ribosomal RNA is filed under the name uncultured bacterium. RNAcentral's name for it is "bacterial SSU rRNA". It matches the Rfam family "Bacterial small subunit ribosomal RNA", at positions 63 to 507 of the family's 1533-position model. The record is from RNAcentral.
CGAACGAGAAAGAUUAAGGUGCUUGCACCAUGAUCGAUCUAGUGGCGAAUGGGUGAGUAACACGUGAGUAACCUGCCCUCUAGACUGGGAUAACUUCUGGAAACGGAUUGUAAUACCGGAUGUCAUCUGAACAUCGCAUGAUGAUCAGAGAAAAGCUUAGAUGCACUAGAGGAUGGACUCGCGGCGUAUUAGCUAGUUGGUGAGAUAGAAGCUCACCAAGGCGAUGAUGCAUAGCUGGUCUGAGAGGAUGAACAGCCACAUUGGGACUGAGACACGGCCCAGACUCCUACGGGAGGCAGCAGUGGGGAAUCUUCCGCAAUGGGCGCAAGCCUGACGGAGCAACGCCGCGUGAGUGAAGAAGGUUUUCGGAUCGUAAAGCUCUGUUGAGAGGGACGAGAGGCAAGGCUAGGAAAUGAGCUUUGUAGGACGGUACCUUUCGAGGAAGCCACGGCUAACUACGUG